AAAGGACUGGUAGUAGCUCAAUGGAACACAUCAGAUUCUUUUAGUACUGUGCUAAAGGAAAGAGAGGUGGUGGUGGUUCCUGAUCACGUGUGUUACCCACACAACGAAAAACCUUUCGGCCAUACAUUCUGCGUCAGAAUUCUUGAUGGGGAAAAAAAAUCUUGCACGAAGGACUUUGAUGCACCUCUUGUAACUGUGGAGGCGGAUGAGCGCUAUGUGGCAGCAGGCAUUUUGGAAUUCGGCUAUUAUUGUAGAGUAGAAGAAUUUCCUGCGAAGUACAGCAACUUACGGUACCCGGAGCACCUAGCCUGGAUCAAGGAUGUCGCGUUCACCACACACUGAACAGUAAGAAAGAAGAAAAGAAAAACGACGAUUUCGACAAUUAUAUGAAUGACAAUUCAAUGCAAAACUUAAUUGUUUACCUAAGAACCAUGAAGACUCAAUAUUGCAAUACUUAGUCAGUUAUUAAAUGAAUUUUUCCCCUUUUCUUAUUUUAUCACCUCAGACAAGAGAAUCCACCAAUCAUCAGCCACCACACUGU
This is a long non-coding RNA of Portunus trituberculatus (swimming crab), 541 nucleotides long. RefSeq lists it as uncharacterized. The record is from RefSeq and is a predicted model, not a curated record. The transcript is spliced from 3 exons. Lineage: Eukaryota; Metazoa; Arthropoda; Malacostraca; Decapoda; Portunidae.